ACGGAGGGUGCGAGCGUUGUUCGGAAUCAUUGGGCGUAAAGGGCGUGUAGGUGGUCUGUUAAGUCAUGUGUGAAAGCCCUCAGCUUAACUGGGGAAGUGCGCAUGAAACUGACAGGCUAGAGUACCGAAGAGGAAGGUGGAAUUCCGGGUGUAGCGGUGGAACGCGUAGAGAUCCGGAAGAACACCGGUGGCGAAGGCGGCCCGCUGGGCAGGAAGACGGAGCAAUCCGUCGUCUGACGCUGAGGCGCGACAGCGUGGGGAGCAAACAGGA
RNAcentral lists this ribosomal RNA (271 nucleotides) under uncultured prokaryote. RNAcentral describes it as "partial 16S ribosomal RNA". It matches the Rfam family "Bacterial small subunit ribosomal RNA", at positions 525 to 777 of the family's 1533-position model. The record is from RNAcentral.